RNAcentral lists this ribosomal RNA (253 nucleotides) under uncultured bacterium. Its description in RNAcentral is "partial 16S ribosomal RNA". It matches the Rfam family "Bacterial small subunit ribosomal RNA", at positions 524 to 776 of the family's 1533-position model. The record is from RNAcentral.
UACGUAGGGCGCAAGCGUUGUCCGGAAUUAUUGGGCGUAAAGAGCUCGUAGGUGGCGUGUCGCGUCUGCCGUGAAAGCCCAUGGCUUAACUGUGGGUCUGCGGUGGAUACGGGCAGGCUGGAGGCUGGUAGGGGCAAGCGGAAUUCCUGGUGUAGCGGUGAAAUGCGCAGAUAUCAGGAGGAACACCGGUGGCGAAGGCGGCUUGCUGGGCCAGUUCUGACGCUGAGGCGCGAAAGCCAGGGGAGCAAACAGG